This is an unclassified non-coding RNA of Otolemur garnettii (small-eared galago), 299 nucleotides long. Its record names the gene 7SK. It matches the Rfam family "7SK RNA". Rfam says of the family: 7SK was discovered as an abundant small nuclear RNA in the mid-70s but a possible function has only recently been suggested. Two independent studies have found that 7SK RNA binds the CDK9/cyclin T complex (known as elongation factor P-TEFb). The record is from Ensembl. Lineage: Eukaryota; Metazoa; Chordata; Mammalia; Primates; Galagidae.
GGAUGUGAGGCCAAUCUGGCUGUGACAUCUGUCACCCACUGAUUGCCAGGGUUGAUUCAGCUGAUAUGGUUGACUAGGCAGGUGUCCCCUUCCUCCCUCACCACUCCAUGUGUGUUCCUCCCAAAACUUCAUGCUUGCUUGAUGAAGACGACCUUCCCCAAUUAAGAAACACCAUUCUUCAGUCAAGGGUAUACAAGUAGCUCCACUUCCCUGCUAGAAACUCUAAACACUGGAAGAAGGUAAGUCAGUUGUAACUCAUGUCACGUAAGUGGGUUUUGGAUUAUCCACACGAUUAACUC